This 29-nucleotide non-coding RNA is filed under the name Mus musculus (house mouse). Lineage: Eukaryota; Metazoa; Chordata; Mammalia; Rodentia; Muridae. The record is from RNAcentral.
UGGCUUGGGGCCUGGGGAGAGAGGGUGUU